AUUGAACGCUGGCGGCAGGCCUAACACAUGCAAGUCGAACGGUAACAGGUAGCAGCUUGCUGCUUUGCUGACGAGUGGCGGACGGGUGAGUAAUGUCUGGGAAACUGCCUGAUGGAGGGGGAUAACUACUGGAAACGGUAGCUAAUACCGCAUAACGUCGCAAGACCAAAGAGGGGGACCUUCGGGCCUCUUGCCAUCGGAUGUGCCCAGAUGGGAUUAUCUAGUAGGUGGGGUAACGGCUCACCUAGGCGACGAUCCCUAGCUGGUCUGAGAGGAUGACCAGCCACACUGGAACUGAGACACGGUCCAGACUCCUACGGGAGGCAGCAGUGGGGAAUAUUGCACAAUGGGCGCAAGCCUGAUGCAGCCAUGCCGCGUGUAUGAAGAAGGCCUUCGGGUUGUAAAGUACUUUCAGCGGGGAGGAAGGGAGUAAAGUUAAUACCUUUGCUCAUUGACGUUACCCGCAGAAGAAGCACCGGCUAACUCCGUG
RNAcentral lists this ribosomal RNA (490 nucleotides) under uncultured bacterium. RNAcentral describes it as "partial 16S ribosomal RNA". It matches the Rfam family "Bacterial small subunit ribosomal RNA", at positions 30 to 507 of the family's 1533-position model. The record is from RNAcentral.